AGAGUUUGAUCCUGGCUCAGAUUGAACGCUGGCGGCAUGCCUUACACAUGCAAGUCGAACGGUAACGCGGGGGCAACCCUGGCGACGAGUGGCGAACGGGUGAGUAAUACAUCGGAACAUAUCCAGUAGCGGGGGAUAACCUAUCGAAAGAUGGACUAAUACCGCAUACGAUCUACGGAUGAAAGCAGGGGACCGCAAGGCCUUGCACUAUUGGAGUGGCCGAUGUCGGAUUAGCUAGUUGGUGAGGUAAAGGCUUACCAAGGCGACGAUCCGUAGCUGGUCUGAGAGGACGAUCAGCCACACUGGAACUGAGACACGGUCCAGACUCCUACGGGAGGCAGCAGUGGGGAAUUUUGGACAAUGGGCGCAAGCCUGAUCCAGCCAUGCCGCGUGAGUGAAGAAGGCCUUCGGGUUGUAAAGCUCUUUCGGUGAAGACGAAACGGUUAGCGCUAAUAACGCUGACUAAUGACGGUACUCACAGAAGAAGCACCGGCUAACUACGUGCCAGCAGCCGCGGUAAUACGUAGGGUGCAGGCGUUAAUCGGAAUUACUGGGCGUAAAGCGUGCGCAGGCGGUUUGCUAAGACAGGUGUGAAAUCCCCGAGCUUAACUUGGGAAUUGCGCUUGUAACUGGCAAGCUAGAGUGUGGCAGAGGGGGGUGGAAUUCCACGUGUAGCAGUGAAAUGCGUAGAUAUGUGGAGGAACACCGAUGGCGAAGGCAGCCCCCUGGGUUAACACUGACGCUCAUGCACGAAAGCGUGGGGAGCAAACAGGAUUAGAUACCCUGGUAGUCCACGCCCUAAACUAUGUCAACUAGUUGUCGGGGAAGAAAUUCCUUGGUAACGAAGCUAACGCGUGAAGUUGACCGCCUGGGGAGUACGGCCGCAAGGUUAAAACUCAGAGGAAUUGACGGGGACCCGCACAAGCGGUGGAUUAUGUGGAUUAAUUCGAUGCAACGCGAAAAACCUUACCUACCCUUGACAUGCUAGGAAGCCCGCAGAGAUGUGGGUGUGCCCGAAAGGGAACCUAGACACAGGUGCUGCAUGGCUGUCGUCAGCUCGUGUCGUGAGAUGUUGGGUUAAGUCCCGCAACGAGCGCAACCCUUGCCAUUAGUUGCUACAUUCAGUUGGGCACUCUAA
Molecule: ribosomal RNA, 1138 nt
Filed under: metagenome
Description: bacterial SSU rRNA
Rfam family: Bacterial small subunit ribosomal RNA
Source: RNAcentral